UACAGGGGGGGCAAGCGUUGUUCGGAAUUACUGGGCGUAAAGGGCUCGUAGGUGGCCAACUAAGUCAGACGUGAAAUCCCUCAGCUUAACUGGGGAACUGCGUCUGAUACUGGAUGGCUUGAGUUUGGGAGAGGGAUGCGGAAUUCCAGGUGUAGCGGUGAAAUGCGUAGAUAUCGGGAGGAAUACCUAUGGCGAAAGCAGGUAUCUGGGCCAUCACUGACGCUGAGCUGCGAAAGCUAGGGGAGCAAACAGG
This 253-nucleotide ribosomal RNA is filed under the name uncultured bacterium. RNAcentral describes it as "partial 16S ribosomal RNA". It matches the Rfam family "Bacterial small subunit ribosomal RNA", at positions 524 to 776 of the family's 1533-position model. The record is from RNAcentral.